AAGUCCCGUAACGAGCGCAACCCUUAUCCUUAUUUGCCAGCACUUCGGGUGGGAACUCUAAGGAGACUGCCGGUGACAAACCGGAGGAAGGUGGGGACGACGUCAAGUCAUCAUGGCCCUUACGAGUAGGGCUACACACGUGCUACAAUGGCGUAUACAGAGGGCAGCGAACUCGCGAGGGUAAGCAAAUCCCAAAAAGUACGUCGUAGUCCGGAUUGGAGUCUGCAACUCGACUCCAUGAAGUCGGAAUCGCUAGUAAUCGUGAAUCAGAAUGUCACGGUGAAUACGUUCCCGGGCCUU
This 300-nucleotide ribosomal RNA is filed under the name uncultured bacterium. Its description in RNAcentral is "bacterial SSU rRNA". It matches the Rfam family "Bacterial small subunit ribosomal RNA", at positions 1082 to 1382 of the family's 1533-position model. The record is from RNAcentral.